This is a long non-coding RNA of Peromyscus leucopus (white-footed mouse), 616 nucleotides long. RefSeq lists it as uncharacterized. The transcript is spliced from 3 exons. The record is from RefSeq and is a predicted model, not a curated record. NCBI's taxonomy places the organism in Eukaryota, Metazoa, Chordata, Mammalia, Rodentia, Cricetidae.
CCCUUUCACUUCCCCCACUUCUUUCCAUAACCAACAGUCUGAAUAUAAAACUUUGCUCACCCAUCCUUUCCACAAGACAUUUAUGAUUUAAGCUUCAAGAGUCUUCGUGGGAGAACUCUCCCCUCUUCUUAUUGCAAUAGCCUUCUUAAUGUGUUUCAAGUUCAUGUCCAGUUUGGAUGCUUUCCUACAGCAGUAACAAUGUCAUAACUUGAACAGAAUUCACCCCUCAAUUGUUGUUUUUCUACAACAUGCCAAGACUUGGACAGAAUGCUGAUUCCCGUUCUGCUCUCCUCACCCAAGUGAUAAUACCAUCUUACUGAACUCUUUGCAACCUGUUUUGGAAAGCCAAAUCCACAACGGUUUAUUAAUAAAAGAAGCAUCCAUCCUAAUGUUAUGAGCAAGCUACCUUUUGUCCUGUCGAGUGGUUGCGGUAUAGAACCAUAAAAGCCUGAACAUGAAACAUCUCAGACCAUUUCCCCUGUCUUCUACAGUGAUGAUCUAACUGGCAUGGGAUGAAGGAUGAUUGAUGGGGCAUGUCUUUUUGUAUGCUGCAAAUAUGUGUUGCUCAAAUUGGUUGAUAAAUAAAAUUUUGGCCUAUGGCAAGGCAGCUUAAAGG